RNAcentral lists this ribosomal RNA (475 nucleotides) under uncultured bacterium. RNAcentral's name for it is "bacterial SSU rRNA". It matches the Rfam family "Bacterial small subunit ribosomal RNA", at positions 28 to 524 of the family's 1533-position model. The record is from RNAcentral.
GACGAACGCUGGCGGCGUGCUUAACACAUGCAAGUCGAACGGUAAGGCCCUUCGGGGUACACGAGUGGCGAACGGGUGAGUAACACGUGGGUGAUCUGCCCUGCACUUCGGGAUAAGCCUGGGAAACUGGGUCUAAUACCGGAUAGGACCAUGGACUUCACGGUUUGUGGUGGAAAGCUUUUGCGGUGUGGGAUGGGCCCGCGGCCUAUCAGCUUGUUGGUGGGGUAAUGGCCUACCAAGGCGACGACGGGUAGCCGGCCUGAGAGGGUGUCCGGCCACACUGGGACUGAGAUACGGCCCAGACUCCUACGGGAGGCAGCAGUGGGGAAUAUUGCACAAUGGGCGCAAGCCUGAUGCAGCGACGCCGCGUGAGGGAUGACGGCCUCGGUUGUAACCUCUUUCAAUAGGACGAAGCGCAAGUGACGGUACCUAUAGAAGAAGCACCGGCCAACUACGUGCCAGCAGCCGCGGUAAU